Long non-coding RNA from Cyprinus carpio carpio, 1307 nucleotides. Lineage: Eukaryota; Metazoa; Chordata; Actinopteri; Cypriniformes; Cyprinidae. The record is from Ensembl.
AGUUUAUGAAUGGCUGUCACUCAUCUCUUGAAACGUCCAGCUGAAUUCAAUGGAACAGAGUUUAUAUUUUGGAACAUUCAACCCUUCUUUCACGCUUCCCUCUUCUCUCUAAUGAUCAGAACCAAUCAGAUGAGUCAGAUUUAUGAGGGCUCCAGUGAAGCGUGCCAACUUUUGGAUGCUUAUUGUUGUGUUGAUCUUCUGCCUAAGAUCUCCUGUUGUUUUUCAACAUCAGUGUUGCAUACAACAUCAUAAGGCUAUGGGGAUGCUACACCUCUAUCUUGGUUUGUAUGAAGGGGCUGAGGAGUGCUAUUUCCUGUGCUGAGCGUGAAAGAAAGAAAACGAAGAAGAAAAAAGAACAGAGAAAGAGGGAGAGAGAGAAAAAGACUGCUGCAAAGGCCUCUGGGUAUUGGCUGGUUUGUGGUUAGGCUAGGUCGCAAUCUGAAGCGAGAGGAGGAAGGAGGAGAGGGAGGGGGGCUUCCACUUUCCUUCCUACCGCUCACCAAAUUGAUACAGCCACUGCCAAGGGGAAACUCCCAAAGCGGGACCCAUGUAGGGCAAAACAGGUCAAAAAAGCACAAAAAUAAGAUGGCAGAACCCUAAAGCUCACAAACAACUUUGCACUCGCUCAAGGAGGGAAUGCACUUCAACGACACAGGCAGAAAAGCGAGGGCUGUGUGUUUGCACCUGUGUGGAGCCUGGCUAAAAGGAGAUGUGUGGAAAGAGACAUCUGUGGAGAGGUGGAGGAAAGUGAGAGAAGGCUGGAGGGAGUUGUAUGUGUGGGGAGAGAGAGACAGAUAACUGGAGGAAAACUGUGAAACAGUGGUUUGAUAAAAAUGGGUGCACAGCUGUCAAUAGCUGAAGUGAAAACAGGAAACAAAUUAAGAUGACAUCUCCCGACACAUCUGACAACCCCAUGAUGACAUUCAGAAGGUAUUUUAGGAUGCGAGUAGGAGUGCACAUUCACGGACGGACAUCACGAAGCGUGAGUUUUGACCUCUGUCCGAUCACACAGACCCCUGGCACAGUAUCGCACCAUACCCUCCUUGCGGGUACGAGGCAGACAUUAGGCCUCAGAAUCUGAGUGCUAGCGACUUGCUUGCUCUGUUCACACUCUCACAUCCUGAGCAGGCGUUUGAGCGUUGCGGACUGAAAAGGUCAGUGGAACGUAACCACAGAGGAGCUGAAGGAGCCAGUUAGCUGUAACAACCAAAGGCCUAACACUGGUCUCACAUCUCUGUAUGGAGUGUGGUGUCACUUAGUCAGCAAACCCUUAACUCAACGAUGUCCCUGACACUGGGGAAGCGUUU